CAAGGACAACUGUUGCAAGUUUGGAUUCAUCUACAGCACAGGCUGAAAGAGACACCCCAGUGAAUCAGGAGUAAGGCCUCAGUAGUGGAGAUACAGAAGAAGUGAUGUUUUUGUGAUGCUUUCAAAGCACCUAAGAAGUUGCUUCUGCAAUUAUUUUAAUUCAUGUGUCACCAGAUGUAAGUAGUUCUUGUGAUGGGCAACAAUUGUAAUGCUGUGUUAAACAGCUAUGUCUAACAAAAUUUCUUUCAUAGUAAAAUGCAAAUCGAGCUCCCUUGGGAGGUGGUAGUGGUUGAUGUAUCUCCUUUUGAAGCAAUAAACAAAAUUAACAACCUUA
Molecule: long non-coding RNA, 334 nt
Organism: Pogoniulus pusillus (Red-fronted tinkerbird)
Lineage: Eukaryota; Metazoa; Chordata; Aves; Piciformes; Lybiidae
Exons: 2
Source: RefSeq, a predicted model, not a curated record